RNAcentral lists this ribosomal RNA (470 nucleotides) under uncultured Glomus. RNAcentral describes it as "SSU rRNA". It matches the Rfam family "Eukaryotic small subunit ribosomal RNA", at positions 633 to 1105 of the family's 1831-position model. The record is from RNAcentral. Lineage: Eukaryota; Fungi; Glomeromycota; Glomeromycetes; Glomerales; Glomeraceae.
GUUGAAUUUCGGGACCAUCAUGUCGGUCGUGCCUCGGUACGUACUGGCAUUGUUGGUUUCUACCUUCUGACGAACCAUGAUGUCAUUUAUUUGGUGUCGUGGGAAAUCAGGACUGUUACUUUGAAAAAAUUAGAGUGUUUAAAGCAGGCUCACGCUUGAAUACAUUAGCAUGGAAUAAUGAAAUAGGACGUUUGAUUCUAUUUUGUUGGUUUCUAGGAUCGACGUAAUGAUUAAUAGGGAUAGUUGGGGGCAUUAGUAUUCAAUUGUCAGAGGUGAAAUUCUUGGAUUUAUUGAAGACUAACUACUGCGAAAGCAUUUGCCAAGGAUGUUUUCAUUAAUCAAGAACGAAAGUUAGGGGAUCGAAGACGAUCAGAUACCGUCGUAGUCUUAACCAUAAACUAUGCCGACUAGGGAUCGGAUGAUGUUAAUUUUUUAAUGACUCAUUCGGCGCCUUACGGGAAACCAAAGUG